UGGGGAAUAUUGCACAAUGGGCGCAAGCCUGAUGCAGCCAUGCCGCGUGUGUGAAGAAGGCCUUCGGGUUGUAAAGCACUUUCAGCGGGGAGGAAGGCGAUAAGGUUAAUAACCUUGUCGAUUGACGUUACCCGCAGAAGAAGCACCGGCUAACUCCGUGCCAGCAGCCGCGGUAAUACGGAGGGUGCAAGCGUUAAUCGGAAUUACUGGGCGUAAAGCGCACGCAGGCGGUCUGUCAAGUCGGAUGUGAAAUCCCCGGGCUUAACACGGGAAUUGCAUCUGAUACGGGUGAGGUAGAGGAUUGUAGAGGGGGGUAGAAGUCCAUGUGUAGCGGUGAAAUGCGUAGAGAUGUGGAGGAAUACCGGUGGCGAAGGCGGCCCCCUGGACAAAGACUGACGCUCAGGUGCGAAAGCGUGGGGAGCAAACAGG
This 429-nucleotide ribosomal RNA is filed under the name Chloroflexota bacterium. Its description in RNAcentral is "Chloroflexi bacterium partial 16S ribosomal RNA". It matches the Rfam family "Bacterial small subunit ribosomal RNA", at positions 355 to 776 of the family's 1533-position model. Lineage: Bacteria; Bacillati; Chloroflexota. The record is from RNAcentral.